GACGAACGCUGGCGGCGUGCCUAAUACAUGUAAGUAGAACGCUGAAGAGAGGAGCUUGCUCUUCUUGGAUGAGUUGCGAACGGGUGAGUAACGCGUAGGUAACCUGCCUUGUAGCGGGGGAUAACUAUUGGAAACGAUAGCUAAUACCGCAUAACAAUGGAUGACACAUGUCAUUUAUUUGAAAGGGGCAAUUGCUCCACUACAAGAUGGACCUGCGUUGUAUUAGCUAGUAGGUGAGGUAAUGGCUCACCUAGGCGACGAUACAUAGCCGACCUGAGAGGGUGAUCGGCCACACUGGGACUGAGACACGGCCCAGACUCCUACGGGAGGCAGCAGUAGGGAAUCCUCGGCAAUGGGGGCAACCCUGACCGAGCAACGCCGCGUGAGUGAAGAAGGUUUUCGGAUCGUAAAGCUCUGUUGUAAGUCAAGAACGGGUGUGAGAGUGGAAAGUUCACACUGUGACGGUAGCUUACCAGAAAGGGACGGCUAACUACGUG
This 497-nucleotide ribosomal RNA is filed under the name uncultured bacterium. RNAcentral's name for it is "partial 16S ribosomal RNA". It matches the Rfam family "Bacterial small subunit ribosomal RNA", at positions 28 to 507 of the family's 1533-position model. The record is from RNAcentral.